This 297-nucleotide long non-coding RNA is filed under the name Aedes aegypti (yellow fever mosquito). RNAcentral describes it as "lncRNA AAEL020996". Lineage: Eukaryota; Metazoa; Arthropoda; Insecta; Diptera; Culicidae. The record is from RNAcentral.
CCACAAGUCAUGUGCGAACAUACGGUGUGAAUUAUCCUCUCUAUUUCUUUAAUUUACUAUUAUUAUUCAAUUACCACCUUUGGGAUUGUGCACAAGUGCGAAACGAAUUUAUAAUUUCUUCAUUGUUAGCGACACCCAUAGGUCCGAAUAGAUCCCUUCAAUCGUGAUUGCGAUAUCACUAUUCUGAACUGUAUCUGAAGAGCCUCGGAAGACCAGCGUAAGCUAGAAAUUGUUGGGUUAGACCGAAACUAAGAAGACCAGAUUGUAAGUGGUAGCAUUCAGUUUUCUUUAAAAUUU